This 78-nucleotide transfer RNA is filed under the name Caldifarciminota bacterium. RNAcentral describes it as "tRNA-Glu". It matches the Rfam family "tRNA". From Rfam's summary of the family: Transfer RNA (tRNA) molecules are approximately 80 nucleotides in length. Lineage: Bacteria; Pseudomonadati; Caldifarciminota. The record is from RNAcentral.
GGCGCCAUCGUCUAGCCUGGCCAAGGAUAUCUGGUUCUCAGCCAGAAGACCCGGGUUCAAAUCCCGGUGGCGCUAUCA